AAAAAUAAGCGCCAGAACUAAUGUAGGGUAGUUGACGAGGAAGAAGCGUAUCGAAAGCAUUCGGCGGAUACUUCUCGCCCAUUUACACAGGGACGCAGGCUUUUGACAAAACAAAGGGGAAACUUUUUGCACAAAACAAAAGCA
RNAcentral lists this non-coding RNA (144 nucleotides) under chicken gut metagenome. RNAcentral describes it as "glmS glucosamine-6-phosphate activated ribozyme". It matches the Rfam family "glmS glucosamine-6-phosphate activated ribozyme aptamer". From Rfam's summary of the family: This entry contains a glucosamine-6-phosphate activated ribozyme that is found in the mRNA for GlmS. GlmS is an enzyme that uses fructose-6-phosphate and glutamine to generate glucosamine-6-phosphate. The ribozyme catalyses self cleavage of the glmS mRNA that is thought to regulate GlmS activity. The record is from RNAcentral.